GCUGGAAAAGUGCGUCCAAGCCGCAAGUCUGGUGGCGAGUGAAAUGCUUGCGACCAUAAGGACAAGCGGUGAUGGGGAGCGAAAUUAAAGUAGCGAAGUUCCUGAUGUCACACUGCCAAGAAAAGCUUCUAGUGAGAAAUAAACUACCCGUACCGCAAACCGACACAGGUAGUCGAGGAGAGUAUCCUCAGGUGAGCGAGCGAACUCUCGUUAAGGAACUCGGCAAAAUGACCCCGUAACUUCGGAAGAAGGGGUGCUGACCGCAAGGUCAGCCGCAGUGAAUAGGCCCAAACAACUGUUUAUCAAAAACACAGGUCUCUGCUAAAUCGAAAGAUGAUGUAUAGGGGCUGACGCCUGCCCGGUGCUGGAAGGUUAAGAGGAUGAGUUAGCGCAAGCGAAGCCCAGAAUUGAAGCCCCAGUAAACGGCGGCCGUAACUAUAACGGUCCUAAGGUAGCGAAAUUCCUUGUCGGGUAAGUUCCGACCCGCACGAAAGGCGUAAUGAUUUGGGCACUGUCUCAACGAGAGACUCGGUGAAAUUAUAGUACCCGUGAAGAUGCGGGUUACCCGCGACAGGACGGAAAGACCCCAUGGAGCUUUACUGUAGCUUGAUAUUGAGUGUUGGUACCGCUUGUACAGGAUAGGUAGGAGCCGUAGAGAUCGGAACGCUAGUUUCGAUGGAGGCGUUGGUGGGAUACUACCCUAGCUGUAUGAACACUCUAACCCGCGCCACUGAUCGUG
Molecule: ribosomal RNA, 739 nt
Filed under: Lacticaseibacillus casei
Lineage: Bacteria; Bacillati; Bacillota; Bacilli; Lactobacillales; Lactobacillaceae
Description: Lactobacillus casei partial 23S ribosomal RNA
Rfam family: Bacterial large subunit ribosomal RNA
Source: RNAcentral